Molecule: ribosomal RNA, 405 nt
Filed under: uncultured Anaerolineaceae bacterium
Lineage: Bacteria; Bacillati; Chloroflexota; Anaerolineae; Anaerolineales; Anaerolineaceae
Description: bacterial SSU rRNA
Rfam family: Bacterial small subunit ribosomal RNA
Source: RNAcentral
UAGGGAAUAUUGGACAAUGGGCGAAAGCCUGAUCCAGCAACGCCGCGUGCGCGAUGAAGGCCUUCGGGUUGUAAAGCGCUUUUCGGGGGGAUGAGGAAGGACAGUACCCCCGGAAUAAGUCUCGGCUAACUACGUGCCAGCAGCCGCGGUAAAACGUAGGAGGCAAGCGUUAUCCGGAUUUACUGGGCGUAAAGCGCGUGCAGGCGGUCGAGUAAGUCGGACGUGAAAGCUCCCGGCUCAACUGGGAGAGGCCGUUCGAUACUACUCGACUUGAGGGCAGUAGAGGAAGGUGGAAUUCCGGGUGUAGCGGUGAAAUGCGUAGAUAUCCGGAGGAACACCUGUGGCGAAAGCGGCCUUCUGGACUGCUCCUGACGCUCAGACGCGAAAGCUAGGGGAGCGAACGGG